GGCCUGCUGGCGCAGGCCUUCGGGCGGCACGGCGCUGCGGUCGCGGCCCGCUACCCGCUGCCCGCGGGCGCGACGCCCGCGCAGGUCACC
Molecule: transfer RNA, 90 nt
Filed under: Mycolicibacterium fallax
Lineage: Bacteria; Bacillati; Actinomycetota; Actinomycetes; Mycobacteriales; Mycobacteriaceae
Description: tRNA-Arg
Source: RNAcentral